Salmo salar (Atlantic salmon) is the source of this 54-nucleotide non-coding RNA. Lineage: Eukaryota; Metazoa; Chordata; Actinopteri; Salmoniformes; Salmonidae. The record is from Rfam.
CCUAUAAAGGACUGUAAGUCGCUCUGGAUAAGAGCGUCUGCUAAAUGACGUAAA